GACGAACGCUGGCGGCGUGCCUAAUACAUGCAAGUAGAACGCUGAAGGAGGAGCUUGCUUCUCCGGAUGAGUUGCGAACGGGUGAGUAACGCGUAGGUAACCUGCCUGGUAGCGGGGGAUAACUAUUGGAAACGAUAGCUAAUACCGCAUAACAGUAGAUAUUGCAUGAUAUCUGCUUGAAAGGUGCAAAUGCAUCACUACCAGAUGGACCUGCGUUGUAUUAGCUAGUUGGUGGGGUAACGGCUCACCAAGGCGACGAUACAUAGCCGACCUGAGAGGGUGAUCGGCCACACUGGGACUGAGACACGGCCCAGACUCCUACGGGAGGCAGCAGUAGGGAAUCUUCGGCAAUGGACGGAAGUCUGACCGAGCAACGCCGCGUGAGUGAAGAAGGUUUUCGGAUCGUAAAGCUCUGUUGUAAGAGAAGAAUGAGUGUGAGGGUGGAAAGUUCACACUGUGACGGUAUCUUACCAGAAAGGGACGGCUAACUACGUGC
RNAcentral lists this ribosomal RNA (496 nucleotides) under uncultured Streptococcus sp. RNAcentral's name for it is "bacterial SSU rRNA". It matches the Rfam family "Bacterial small subunit ribosomal RNA", at positions 28 to 508 of the family's 1533-position model. Lineage: Bacteria; Bacillati; Bacillota; Bacilli; Lactobacillales; Streptococcaceae. The record is from RNAcentral.